CGAGGAUCGGAUUUCACAUGAUCGGACUUCUUCGGUGACUGGGAAAACCUGCAGAGUCAGCAUCUAGAAGCGGCCCUACGCAUUGUUUUCUCAUCAAGAUGUCAGCUUGACGUCAGCGUCACCUCGGAACCCCACUGGCUCCACUCGGACAGUUGGCACUCUGGCAAAGAGGAAGAGGAGAAACACUGGCCUGAGGUUUCCAACAUCACUGUCACCCAUGGUGCUGAGGAAGACCAUCACCAGCGCCACCAAUCCCAGCUGCAUAGUCCCUGUUGGUUUUCCGACUACGCGGGGUCCCCUGUGGAUUAGGUGGGGCAGUGGCUGAUGCAUUGUUGAGGCAAAAUGGUGAUGGAAGCUGUCGAACAUCUGGCGUUUCAACCCAUGAAGCUGAAGGACCCCUUUGCACGCCAUAGGGUCACUUGCAUGCACUUGAACCCCUAACCUGGAUCUGCAAUGUGGGCUUCUGGGGAUGCCGGGCCUGUUUCCACCUCCACCUCUUGCGUCUGGUUGUGUCCGUGUUGCCCUCAUGGGUGGUGCUGCCCCUCUUUUCACCGUGUUCUGCCAGCCGGUCGGGCCGGUCCGGACCUGCAGGCCGCUCGGGGGAAACAGUAGCGCCUUGCUUCCCCUAACGAGGCAUGACCUCAGUGGUGGCAGUUCGCAGCCUCGCCGUGACGGAGACCUCAAUGCGAAUAGGCCUCUCUGUCGUCCCGAUCUAAUCAAAAGGGCAGCAGAUAGUUGCUGAAGAUGGGAUGCUGCCAGAUAGAGGAAAGGGUGAACACUGGUUCCAUUCAGCCGGACGACAUUGCUGGCAAAGAGUCGUUGGGAGUGUCCAGCAGAGGGUGGCAAUGUCUCAAAUCCACAGCACUGAGAUGAGUUCCCUGCUGCAUCCCUGCCUCAAUAGAACCACUGCACUGUCUACAAAGAACCACGCCAACACGUCUUUUACAUCGUCCUUGUGCUCGGCAAGUUCAGCAUCUUUCCCUUCACUGUCAUGUUCAGUUUCAUCCACUCCAGGGCCCAUACCAACAACCAGUACAUAGCCAGACCUGCUACGACUGUGAACCCAUAUUAAAGAAACAUUACCUCAUACAGUGUAAUUACAGUAUACACAACACAUUGAUGAAAACCAGUUUUGAAAUCAGAAGCCUAUGAAAACAUGCUUUUCAACUAUUACAUUUCUUUUCAAAGGGGGAUUGGUAACAAAAAAAUGCUUGUAAAUAUCUCAAUGGUAUUACACCAGAACACAAUUAGCGAUUUUGAUUUGCUUUCACGGGCCACGUAAAAUGAUGUGGCGGGCCGGAUCUGGCCCCCGGGCCACCAGUUUGACACCUGUGUUCUCGGACAUUAAAGUCUAGUUACCCCA
Phyllopteryx taeniolatus (common seadragon) is the source of this 1363-nucleotide long non-coding RNA. RefSeq lists it as uncharacterized. NCBI's taxonomy places the organism in Eukaryota, Metazoa, Chordata, Actinopteri, Syngnathiformes, Syngnathidae. The record is from RefSeq and is a predicted model, not a curated record. The transcript has 7 exons.